UUUCAUAAGCUUCUUUCAAAGAUUAAGCCAUGCAAGUGUCCGUAUAAUCUUUUAGACGAAACUGCGAAUGGCUCAUUACAACAGUUAUAGCUUACUUGACGAUUUCUCCACGGAUAACUGUGGGAAACCAAAGCUAAUACGAGUGAAAGACGUCGCGUAAGCGUCGUUGUUCUUGCUGGUGCUUUCAAACCAAACGCGCCCUAGGCGUGUCUGCUGAACCACAGCAAGAGAUCGAGUCGGAUUUCCGAUGCGUCAUUCAGGUUUCUGACCUAUCAGCUUUCGACGGUAAGGUAUUGGCUUACCGUGGCUUUGACGGGUAACGGGGAAUUAGGGUUUGAUUCCGGAGAGGGAGCCUGAGACAUGGCUACCACGUCUAAGGAUGGCAGCAGGCGCGCAAAUUACCCAAUCCUGACACAGGGAGGUAGUGACGAAAAAUAGCAGCUCAGAGCUUAUGCUCUGUUGAUUGCAAUGGGUUGAGGUUACAACUCUCAGCGAAAUCCAUU
This 503-nucleotide ribosomal RNA is filed under the name uncultured eukaryote. Its description in RNAcentral is "bacterial SSU rRNA". It matches the Rfam family "Eukaryotic small subunit ribosomal RNA", at positions 24 to 549 of the family's 1831-position model. The record is from RNAcentral.